UACGGGGGGGGUAAGCGUUGUUCGGAAUUACUGGGCGUAAAGGGCUCGUAGGCGGUCAACUAAGUCAGACGUGAAAUCCCUCAGCUUAACUGGGGAACUGCGUCUGAUACUGGAUGGCUUGGAUUCGGGAGAGGAAUGCGGAAUUCCAGGUGUAGCGGUGAAAUGCGUAGAUAUCUGGAGGAACACCGGUGGCGAAGGCGGCAUUCUGGACCGAUAUUGACGCUGAGGAGCGAAAGCCAGGGGAGCAAACGGG
RNAcentral lists this ribosomal RNA (253 nucleotides) under uncultured bacterium. Its description in RNAcentral is "partial 16S ribosomal RNA". It matches the Rfam family "Bacterial small subunit ribosomal RNA", at positions 524 to 776 of the family's 1533-position model. The record is from RNAcentral.